Chlorocebus sabaeus (green monkey) is the source of this 119-nucleotide ribosomal RNA. The record is from Ensembl. NCBI's taxonomy places the organism in Eukaryota, Metazoa, Chordata, Mammalia, Primates, Cercopithecidae.
GUCUACAGCCAUACCACCCUGAAUGCGCCUGAUCUUGUCUGAUCUCAGAAGCUAAGCAGGAUCGGGUCUAGUUAGUACUUGGAUGGGAGACUGUCUGGGAACACCAGGUGCUGUAGGCU